GGAGCUUGCUCCACGGAUUAGUGGCGAACGGGUGAGGAACACGUGAGAAACCUGCCUCGGAUUUUGGGAUAACAAAUGGAAACGUUUGCUAAUACCAAAUAACGUCGGAGAGUCACAUGACUUUCUGACGAAAGGAAUUCCGAUUCGAGAGGGUCUCGCGGCCUAUCAGCUUGUUGGCGGGGUAAUGGCCCACCAAGGCAACGACGGGUAGCUGGUCUGAGAGGAUGGUCAGCCACACUGGGACUGAGACACGGCCCAGACUCCUACGGGAGGCAGCAGUAGGGAAUCUUGCGCAAUGGGCGAAAGCCUGACGCAGCAACGCCGCGUGCGGGAAGAAGGCUUUCGGGCUGUAAACCGCUUUCAGCAGGAACGAAAAUGACGGUACCUGCAGAAGAAGGAGCGGCCAACUAUGUGCCAGCAGCCGCGGUGAUACAUAGGCUUCAAGCGUUGUCCGGAUUUAUUGGGCGUAAAGAGUUCGUAGGCGGUCGAGUAAGUCGGGUGUGAAAAUUCUGGGCUCAACCCAGAGACGCCACCCGAUACUGCUUAACUUGAGUUCGAUAGGGGAGUGGGGAAUUCCUAGUGUAGCGGUGAAAUGCGCAGAUAUUAGGAGGAACACCGGUGGCGAAGGCGCCACUCUGGAUCGACACUGACGCUGAGGAACGAAAGCAUGGGUAGCAAACAGGAUUAGAUACCCUGGUAGUCCAUGCGGUAAACGGUGGGCACUAGGUGUGGGUUUCUAUUAACGAAAUCCCGCGCCGUCGCUAACGCAUUAAGUG
This 776-nucleotide ribosomal RNA is filed under the name uncultured bacterium. RNAcentral's name for it is "bacterial SSU rRNA". It matches the Rfam family "Bacterial small subunit ribosomal RNA", at positions 75 to 866 of the family's 1533-position model. The record is from RNAcentral.